Molecule: ribosomal RNA, 375 nt
Filed under: Triticum aestivum (bread wheat)
Lineage: Eukaryota; Viridiplantae; Streptophyta; Magnoliopsida; Poales; Poaceae
Description: partial small subunit ribosomal RNA
Source: RNAcentral
AUGGGAGGCUUGACAAAGAUCUGUUUUUCAAAUGCAAAGAAGACUGGCGUGGAGAGAGUUAAAUCUGGUGUGCAGAGAGUUAAAUCUGGAAGGAAUUCAGAAAAAAAAAGUAAGACCGGAGUGGAGAGAGUUAAAUCCGGAAGGAAUUCACUGCAAACUCAUGGAAGCCGGUUCAUGUUAUUAUUAUGGCUCUGGUGGGGGAGCGCAACAAAUGGAGGGAAGAAGGCACAAGACGGACAGCGUCAGAGAUUGCCUGCCUACAUCUCGACAUCUCUGGCUGACCGGUUUCAGAAAACAGAUGGUGCGGCCGGCGUGUUGUCGGAUAGGCGUCAGAAACAGAGAUGGAGAUGGCUGCAGGCUAGCUUAAUACCCUGA